GACCUGGCACAACUACAGAAAAUGACCACAGCGUUGACCAGUAUGAACGUUCUGAUAUUGGAGACACACAGAUAAAAGAUGAACAACAAGGACCGUGUUUCGAUGUAAAGACAACUGAAGAGCCGGCGCUCAACCAAGCGGAUUUGCCCCAAACAACUUACGACAUAGAUAUAUCAAAGGCCAAGGACCGGAUUAGUGAAAUGGACGACUCUGGAAAAUUCCAGCUUCUUCAGACCAGAAAACCACCCAAAUCUUUCAAUUUCCCUGCCAGAGAAUU
Molecule: long non-coding RNA, 277 nt
Organism: Cyprinodon tularosa
Lineage: Eukaryota; Metazoa; Chordata; Actinopteri; Cyprinodontiformes; Cyprinodontidae
Exons: 3
Source: RefSeq, a predicted model, not a curated record